CCUACGGGGCGCUGCAGUGGGGAAUAUUGGGCAAUGGGCGCAAGCCUGACCCAGCAACGCCGCGUGAAGGAAGAAGGCUUUCGGGUUGUAAACUUCUUUUAUCAGGGACGAAACAAGUGACGGUACCUGAUGAAUAAGCCACGGCUAACUACGUGCCAGCAGCCGCGGUAAUACGGAGGUGGCAAGCGUUAUCCGGAUUUACUGGGUGUAAAGGGCUGGUAGGCGGGAGUUCAAGUCAGAUGUGAAAACUAUGGGCUCAACCCAUAGCCUGCAUUUGAAACUGGACUUCUUGAGUGCUGGAGAGGCAAGCGGAAGUCCGGGUGUAGCGGUGAAAUGCGUAGAUAUACGGAGGAACACCAGUGGCGAAGGCGGAUUGCUGGACAGUAACUGACGCUGAUGCGCGAAAGCGUGGGGAGCAAACAGGAUUAGAUACCCUAGUAGUC
RNAcentral lists this ribosomal RNA (443 nucleotides) under uncultured bacterium. RNAcentral's name for it is "partial 16S ribosomal RNA". It matches the Rfam family "Bacterial small subunit ribosomal RNA", at positions 338 to 795 of the family's 1533-position model. The record is from RNAcentral.